UACGUAGGGCGCAAGCGUUGUCCGGAAUUAUUGGGCGUAAAGAGCUCGUAGGCGGCUUGUCACGUCGGGUGUGAAAGCCCGGGGCUUAACCCCGGGUCGGCAUUCGAUACGGGCAGGCUAGAGUGUGGUAGGGGAGAUCGGAAUUCCUGGUGUAGCGGUGAAAUGCGCAGAUAUCAGGAGGAACACCGGUGGCGAAGGCGGAUCUCUGGGCCAUUACUGACGCUGAGGAGCGAAAGCGUGGGGAGCGAACAGG
Molecule: ribosomal RNA, 253 nt
Filed under: uncultured bacterium
Lineage: Bacteria
Description: partial 16S ribosomal RNA
Rfam family: Bacterial small subunit ribosomal RNA
Source: RNAcentral